GACGAACGCUGGCGGCGUGCUUAACACAUGCAAGUCGAACGGUGAAGCGCCUUCCUUUUUGGUGGGUGUGGAUGAGUGGCGAACGGGUGAGUAACACGUGAGUAACCUGCCCCCUUCUUCUGGAUAACCGCAUGAAAGUGUGGCUAAUACGGGAUAUUCUGGGUCUGUCGCAUGAUGGGUCUGGGAAAGAUAUUGUUUCGGUGGGGGAUGGGCUCGCGGCCUAUCAGCUUGUUGGUGGGGUGAUGGCCUACCAAGGCGGUGACGGGUAGCCGGCCUGAGAGGGUGGACGGUCACACUGGGACUGAGGCACGGCCCAGACGCGUACGGGAGGCAGCAGUGGGGAAUAUUGCACUAUGAGCGCGAGCCUGAUGCAGCGACGCCGCGUGAGGGAUGGAGGCCUUCGGGUUGUGAACCUCUUUCGCCAGUGAAGCAGGCCUGCCUCGUUUGUGGGUGGGUUGACGGUAGCUGGAUAAGAAGCGCCGGCUAACUACGUG
This 494-nucleotide ribosomal RNA is filed under the name uncultured bacterium. RNAcentral's name for it is "partial 16S ribosomal RNA". It matches the Rfam family "Bacterial small subunit ribosomal RNA", at positions 28 to 507 of the family's 1533-position model. The record is from RNAcentral.